This 477-nucleotide ribosomal RNA is filed under the name uncultured organism. RNAcentral's name for it is "partial 16S ribosomal RNA". It matches the Rfam family "Bacterial small subunit ribosomal RNA", at positions 331 to 799 of the family's 1533-position model. The record is from RNAcentral.
GUACACUCCUGCGGGAGGCAGCAGUGGGGAAUAUUGCACAAUGGGCGCAAGCCUGAUGCAGCCAUGCCGCGUGUAUGAAGAAGGCCUUCGGGUUGUAAAGUACUUUCAGCGGGGAGGAAGGCGAUAAGGUUAAUAACCUUGUCGAUUGACGUUACCCGCAGAAGAAGCACCGGCUAACUCCGUGCCAGCAGCCGCGGUAAUACGGAGGGUGCAAGCGUUAAUCGGAAUUACUGGGCGUAAAGCGCACGCAGGCGGUCUGUCAAGUCGGAUGUGAAAUCCCCGGGCUCAACCUGGGAACUGCAUUCGAAACUGGCAGGCUAGAGUCUUGUAGAUGGGGGUAGAAUUCCAGGUGUAGCGGUGAAAUGCGUAGAGAUCUGGAGGAAUACCGGUGGCGAAGGCGGCCCCCUGGACAAAGACUGACGCUCAGGUGCGAAAGCGUGGGGAGCAAACAGGAUUAGAAACCCCUGUAGUCCCAUG